GACGAACGCUGGCGGCGUGCCUAAUACAUGCAAGUAGAACGCACAGUUUAUACCGUAGCUUGCUACACCAUAGACUGUGAGUUGCGAACGGGUGAGUAACGCGUAGGUAACCUGCCUGGUAGCGGGGGAUAACUAUUGGAAACGAUAGCUAAUACCGCAUAAUAUUAAUUAUUGCAUGAUAAUUAAUUGAAAGGUGCAAUUGCACCACUACCAGGUGGACCUGCGUUGUAUUAGCUAGUAGGUGAGGUAACGGCUCACCUAGGCGACGAUACAUAGCCGACCUGAGAGGGUGAUCAGCCACACUGGGACUGAGACACGGCCCAGACUCCUUCGGGAGGCAGCAGUAGGGAAUCUUCGGCAAUGGACGAAAGUCUGACCGAGCAACGCCGCGGGAGGGAAGAAGGGUUUCGGAUCGUAAAGCUCUGUUGUAAGAGAAGAACGGGUUUGAGAGUGGAAAGUUCACACUGUGACGGUAUCUGACCAGAAAGGGACGGCUAACUACGUG
Molecule: ribosomal RNA, 505 nt
Filed under: uncultured bacterium
Lineage: Bacteria
Description: partial 16S ribosomal RNA
Rfam family: Bacterial small subunit ribosomal RNA
Source: RNAcentral